GCGGACGGGUGAGUAAUACCUAGGAAUCUGCCUGAUAGUGGGGGAUAACGUUCGGAAACGGACGCUAAUACCGCAUACGUCCUACGGGAGAAAGCAGGGGACCUUCGGGCCUUGCGCUAUCAGAUGAGCCUAGGUCGGAUUAACUAGUUGGUGAGGUAAUGGCUCACCAAGGCUACGAUCCGUAACUGGUCUGAGAGGAUGAUCAGUCACACUGGAACUGAGACACGGUCCAGACUCCUACGGGAGGCAGCAGUGGGGAAUAUUGGACAAUGGGCGAAAGCCUGAUCCAGCCAUGCCGCGUGUGUGAAGAAGGUCUUCGGAUUGUAAAGCACUUUAAGUUGGGAGGAAGGGUAUUAACCUAAUACGUUAGUACUUUGACGUUACCGACAGAAUAAGCACCGGCUAACUCUGUGCCAGCAGCCGCGGUAAUACAGAGGGUGCAAGCGUUAAUCGGAAUUACUGGGCGUAAAGCGCGCGUAGGUGGUUUGUUAAGUUGAAUGUAAAAUCCCCGGGCUCAACCUGGGAACUGCAUCCAAAACUGGCAAGCUAG
Molecule: ribosomal RNA, 550 nt
Filed under: Pseudomonas sp. EX2-09-14
Lineage: Bacteria; Pseudomonadati; Pseudomonadota; Gammaproteobacteria; Pseudomonadales; Pseudomonadaceae
Description: bacterial SSU rRNA
Rfam family: Bacterial small subunit ribosomal RNA
Source: RNAcentral